GACGAACCGUGCGAACGUUGUUCGGAAUCACUGGGCUUAAAGGGCGCGUAGGCGGGCCGUCAAGUCAGGGGUGAAAGCCCCCAGCUCAACUGGGGAAGUGCCUUUGAUACUGACGAUCUCGAGGGAGGUAGGGGCGUGCGGAACUUCCGGUGGAGCGGUGAAAUGCGUAGAUAUCGGAAGGAACGCCGGUGGCGAAAGCGGCGCGCUGGACCUCUUCUGACGCUGAGGCGCGAAAGCCAGGGGAGCAAACGGG
RNAcentral lists this ribosomal RNA (253 nucleotides) under uncultured bacterium. Its description in RNAcentral is "partial 16S ribosomal RNA". It matches the Rfam family "Bacterial small subunit ribosomal RNA", at positions 524 to 776 of the family's 1533-position model. The record is from RNAcentral.